AAUCAACGCUGGCGGCAUGCCUAACACAUGCAAGUCGAACGGGAAAGUGGGAGCAAUCCCAUGAGUAUAGUGGCGCACGGGUGAGUAACACGUGACUAACCUACCCUCGAGUGGGGAAUAACCCCGGGAAACCGGGGCUAACACCGCAUAAUACCGCAAGGUCAAAUGCGCAAGCAGCUUGAGGAGGGGGUCGCGGUUGAUUAGCUAGUUGGUAGGGUAAUGGCCUACCAAGGCAGNGAUCAAUAGCCGGCCUGAGAGGGCGCACGGCCACACUGGAACUGAAACACGGUUCAGACUCCUACGGGAGGCAGCAGUGGGGAAUUUUGCGCAAUGGGGGAAACCCUGACGCAGCAACGCCGCGUGGAGGAUGAAGUCCCUUGGGACGUAAACUCCUUUCGACCGGGACGAUUAUGACGGUACCGGUGGAAGAAGCCCCGGCUAACUUCGUGCCAGCAGCCGCCGCCGUAAC
Molecule: ribosomal RNA, 469 nt
Filed under: uncultured bacterium
Lineage: Bacteria
Description: bacterial SSU rRNA
Rfam family: Bacterial small subunit ribosomal RNA
Source: RNAcentral